UACAGAGGUGGCAAGCGUUGUUCGGAUUUACUGGGUGUAAAGGGUACGUAGGCGGUUCGGUAAGUUGGAUGUGAAAUCCUAUGGCUCAACCAUAGAACUGCAUCCAAAACUGCCGGGCUAGAGUGUGGGAGAGGAAGAUGGAAUUCCCGGUGUAAGGGUGAAAUCUGUAGAUAUCGGGAAGAACACCAGUGGCGAAGGCGAUCUUCUGGCCCAAUACUGACGCUCAGUGUACGAAAGCUGGGGGAGCAAACAGG
RNAcentral lists this ribosomal RNA (254 nucleotides) under uncultured bacterium. RNAcentral's name for it is "partial 16S ribosomal RNA". It matches the Rfam family "Bacterial small subunit ribosomal RNA", at positions 524 to 776 of the family's 1533-position model. The record is from RNAcentral.